GAGACAGCAGUCGCCACGGUAAUACGAAGGGGGCUAGCGUUGUUCGGAAUUACUGGGCGUAGAGCGCACGUAGGCGGAUAUUUAAGUCAGGGGUGAAAUCCCGCAGCUCAACUGCGGAACUGCCUUUGAUACUGGGUAUCUUGAGUAUGGAAGAGGUUAGUGGAAUUGCGAGUGUAGAGGUGAAAUUCGUAGAUAUUCGCAGGAACACCAGUGGCGAAGGCGGCUAACUGGUCCAUAACUGACGCUGAGGUGCGAAAGCGUGGGGAGCAAACAGGAUUAGAUACCCGGGUAGUCCCUGUCUCUUAUAC
This 308-nucleotide ribosomal RNA is filed under the name uncultured bacterium. Its description in RNAcentral is "partial 16S ribosomal RNA". It matches the Rfam family "Bacterial small subunit ribosomal RNA", at positions 505 to 807 of the family's 1533-position model. The record is from RNAcentral.